This 119-nucleotide ribosomal RNA is filed under the name Melitaea cinxia (Glanville fritillary). Lineage: Eukaryota; Metazoa; Arthropoda; Insecta; Lepidoptera; Nymphalidae. The record is from RNAcentral.
GCCAACGUCCAUACCACGCUGAAUACACCGGUUCUCGUCUGAUCACCGAAGUUAAGCAACGUCGGGCGCGGUCAGUACUUGGAUGGGUGACCGCCUGGGAACACCGCGUGACGUUGGCU